RNAcentral lists this transfer RNA (71 nucleotides) under Loxodonta africana (African savanna elephant). It matches the Rfam family "tRNA". From Rfam's summary of the family: Transfer RNA (tRNA) molecules are approximately 80 nucleotides in length. Their secondary structure includes four short double-helical elements and three loops (D, anti-codon, and T loops). Lineage: Eukaryota; Metazoa; Chordata; Mammalia; Proboscidea; Elephantidae. The record is from Rfam by way of RNAcentral.
ACAUGGGUGGUUCAUUGUUAGAAUUCUCACCUUCCAUGUGGGAGACCCAAGUUCAAUUCCUGGCCAGUGCA